GUCAUCAGCUCUUCUAUAAAGCCAAGUGCCCUAGGGUUUCUUCACCUUGUAAGAUUCGGUGUUUCUCACUUAACCCAAAAACAAAAACAUAAAAAACACUGAAAACACUUUUUAUCCAAACAAAUCUGAGUUUUUCUCAGAAUGAUCUUUAAAUGAUUUCGGACCAGGCUUCAUUCCUGUCAACCAACAGUUUCUCUCUAACUUCUUGAAGAAGGUGAAGAUUGAAGGAAAUCAUUUGGUAAGGUUUUGUAACUGAUACAUAAGCCUCUUAUCUUAUUUGCAUGGAAUCCAUUGACUUGAUCAUCUUUUUCUUUCUUUUUGACUCGCUUUUCUUGUCGAUUUUCAAAGAGAAAGAUAGAGAAAACAAAUUAAAGGUCUCUCCUGAAAAGAGUGUUUAUUCUUUCCCUUCUUGGGGAGUCAAAUAAUCAUUUAUAAAAUCACCUUUUGGACGACACAGAUCAGAGUUGAUUAAGAUGGUUUAUGUGAAAACCAAGAUACAAGAAUAAUUAACUCUGCAUAUUCAGUCUAGGUCAAUUGAAAAACCUAUUCUUAAUUUUAUUUUGAUCCUCUUAAUAUUGGCUCCUUUUUUUUUCUAUAUAUUUAUCAGUUACAUCAUCGUAUUAAUUAUUUUAGGAGUUACACUGUGUAGAGUUUUGAAUGAAAUUCUAAGCUAUAUUUAUAUAUAUGAAUUUAAUGAAGUUUUGUUUUUUUGGGAGAGGUUACGGUGGAGCAUUGAAGGCACUGAAGGUGAUAAGACCUGUGGAAGACAUAUAUGAAUCAGUGAAGCUUUAAUUACAGAUUAAUUGUUUGUUUUUAUUUGAUUAAUUUUUCUGUGUAUUAUAUUCUAAGAAAAAUAUAUAUGUUCUAUAAUUAUUUCGUAUUAGUUGAAGUUUUAAAUUGACAAAACAAAAAGCAAAGAUUGAAAGUAGAAUGUGAUCCAUGCCUAGGGGCUGAGCCAUCUCACCACCCGUCAUUUGGUGGGUCUAACGGGUUGGAUCAACCCGUUUGCAGGGUAAGCCCCGACGCACGGCAGAGGGGUCCUUUGGGCAUUGUCUUUGUGGAUCCUUAACGGACUAGUUACAGGUUUUUGUGGAUUGUUAUGUUGGUUUUUUGUGAGCCAAUCUACCAUAUUAUAUUUUUUACAGCCUGAUUGUGUGGUAAAACCCCUGAUAGGAGGCUAUAGCCCUUGACCCUUGAUUGCAAAAGGCUACGUGAAGAUGUUCUUUAGGCUUCAUGUCCCAUCAAAGAUAUUCAUUGUCUUUCAUAUCAAAAGGGUAAAAAACCAUACUUGACUUAUUCUCAUAUGAUUUUAUACUCAUCUACUAGAAAGUACAAUGAAUAAGGUUACAUGAGAUUGUCCAUAUGUUUGCAAGUAUACAUUCUAUUUAACUUCAACAAUGAAAACUAGGUUUGCAGGUUUGGAUAUAUAAAACGCUUGGACGAUUAGACGAAGUUGAAGUUACUAUCAACAGUGGGUCCUUGAUGAGGUCCAACUUGGAGUGCAUAUUGAUGAAUUCUUUGUACAUAUUGUACAUAUGUUGUAUAACUCAUUGUUCGUUUAUAUUACAAUAGAUGUGCAACAUCACAAUAUAGUUAUUCAUUUUAUGUCAA
Mangifera indica (mango) is the source of this 1611-nucleotide long non-coding RNA. RefSeq lists it as uncharacterized. The record is from RefSeq and is a predicted model, not a curated record. The transcript is spliced from 2 exons. Lineage: Eukaryota; Viridiplantae; Streptophyta; Magnoliopsida; Sapindales; Anacardiaceae.